Molecule: long non-coding RNA, 320 nt
Organism: Electrophorus electricus (electric eel)
Lineage: Eukaryota; Metazoa; Chordata; Actinopteri; Gymnotiformes; Gymnotidae
Source: RefSeq, a predicted model, not a curated record
GGCCCCGCGGCUGUCCGCGCUGUUGCCUGCGCGCAUUCGUCUCCUGUCGAACUGAAGUUUCUGCGCUUGGUCGUGCUUCACUUUCAGACGGCCGGCGGCGUUGUUAUGAAGAUUGACUGCGGCUCGAGCGUCAUGUCCGGUCUCUACUGCGUCCACGUACUGUUUGGAAAUCCUCUCUCCAAAGUCAACGUUAUCACCGCAGCCUCCCCACAGCCAUCCACGACCUCCUACACAUCCGGAUGAAUAAGAUCAGAUCUACAGCCAGCAACAUCUGACCGUCAUUGCGCUAUGCGCUAAUAAAUGCUUUCAGAUGCUGAAAA